RNAcentral lists this ribosomal RNA (465 nucleotides) under uncultured Klebsiella sp. RNAcentral describes it as "bacterial SSU rRNA". It matches the Rfam family "Bacterial small subunit ribosomal RNA", at positions 338 to 795 of the family's 1533-position model. The record is from RNAcentral. Lineage: Bacteria; Pseudomonadati; Pseudomonadota; Gammaproteobacteria; Enterobacterales; Enterobacteriaceae.
CCUACGGGGGGCUGCAGUGGGGAAUAUUGCUCAAUGGGCGCAAGCCUGAUGCAGCCAUGCCGCGUGUGUGAAGAAGGCCUUCGGGUUGUAAAGCACUUUCAGCGGGGAGGAAGGCGGUGAGGUUAAUAACCUCAUCGAUUGACGUUACCCGCAGAAGAAGCACCGGCUAACUCCGUGCCAGCAGCCGCGGUAAUACGGAGGGUGCAAGCGUUAAUCGGAAUUACUGGGCGUAGAGCGCACGCAGGCGGUCUGUCAAGUCGGAUGUGAAAUCCCCGGGCUCAACCUGGGAACUGCAUUCGAAACUGGCAGGCUAGAGUCUUGUAGAGGGGGGUAGAAUUCCAGGUGUAGCGGUGAAAUGCGUAGAGAUCUGGAGGAAUACCGGUGGCGAAGGCGGCCCCCUGGACAAAGACUGACGCUCAGGUGCGAAAGCGUGGGGAGCAAACAGGAUUAGAUACCCGAGUAGUC